Molecule: ribosomal RNA, 497 nt
Filed under: uncultured bacterium
Lineage: Bacteria
Description: partial 16S ribosomal RNA
Rfam family: Bacterial small subunit ribosomal RNA
Source: RNAcentral
GAUGAACGCUGGCGGCGUGCCUAAUACACGCAAGUCGAGCGAACGGACGAGAAGCUUGCUUUUCUGAUGUUAGCGGCGGACGGGUGAGUAACACGUGGAUAACCUACCUAUAAGACUGGGAUAACUUCGGGAAACCGGAGCUAAUACCGGAUAAUAUUUUGAACCGCAUGGUUCAAAAGUGAAAGACGGUCUUGCUGUCACUUAUAGAUGGAUCCGCGCUGCAUUAGCUAGUUGGUAAGGUAACGGCUUACCAAGGCAGCGAUGCAUAGCCGACCUGAGAGGGUGAUCGGCCACACUGGAACUGAGACACGGUCCAGACUCCUACGGGAGGCAGCAGUAGGGAAUCUUCCGCAAUGGGCGAAAGCCUGACGGAGCAACGCCGCGUGAGUGAUGAAGGUCUUCGGAUCGUAAAACUCUGUUAUUAGGGAAGAACAUAUGUGUAAGUAACUGUGCACAUCUUGACGGUACCUAAUCAGAAAGCCACGGCUAACUACGUG